CCUACGGGGAGCUGCAGUGGGGAAUAUUGGACAAUGGGCGAAAGCCUGAUCCAGCCAUGCCGCGUGUGUGAAGAAGGCCUUCGGGUUGUAAAGCACUUUCAGUGGGGAAGAAAGCCUUGGGGCUAAUACCCUCGAGGAAGGACAUCACCCACAGAAGAAGCACCGGCUAACUCCGUGCCAGCAGCCGCGGUAAUACGGAGGGUGCGAGCGUUAAUCGGAAUUACUGGGCGUAAAGCGCGCGUAGGCGGUCUGAUAAGCCGGUUGUGAAAGCCCCGGGCUCAACCUGGGAACGGCAUCCGGAACUGUCAGGCUAGAGUGCAGGAGAGGAAGGUAGAAUUCCCGGUGUAGCGGUGAAAUGCGUAGAGAUCGGGAGGAAUACCAGUGGCGAAGGCGACCUUCUGGACUGACACUGACGCUGAGGUGCGAAAGCGUGGGUAGCAAACAGGAUUAGAUACCCCUGUAGUC
Molecule: ribosomal RNA, 465 nt
Filed under: Vreelandella stevensii
Lineage: Bacteria; Pseudomonadati; Pseudomonadota; Gammaproteobacteria; Oceanospirillales; Halomonadaceae
Description: partial 16S ribosomal RNA
Rfam family: Bacterial small subunit ribosomal RNA
Source: RNAcentral